RNAcentral lists this long non-coding RNA (607 nucleotides) under Rattus norvegicus (Norway rat). RNAcentral's name for it is "long non-coding RNA NONRATT019264". The record is from RNAcentral. Lineage: Eukaryota; Metazoa; Chordata; Mammalia; Rodentia; Muridae.
AAAAGAUCUUUACCAAUCCUACAACAGAUAGAGGCCUUAUAUCCAAAAUAUACAAAGAACUCAAGAAGUUAGACCGCAGGGAGACAAAUAACCCUAUUAAAAAAUGGGGUUCAGAGCUAAACAAAGAAUUCACAGCUGAGGAAUGCCGAAUGGCUGAGAAACACCUAAAGAAAUGUUCAACAUCUUUAGUCAUAAGGGAAAUGCAAAUCAAAACAACCCUGAGAUUUCACCUCACACCAGUGAGAAUGGCUAAGAUCAAAAACUCAGGUGACAGCAGAUGCUGGCGAGGAUGUGGAGAAAGAGGAACACUCCUCCAUUGUUGGUGGGAUUGCAGACUGGUAAAACCAUUCUGGAAAUCAGUCUGGAGGUUCCUCAGAAAAUUGGACAUUGAACUGCCUGAGGAUCCAGCUAUACCUCUCUUGGGCAUAUACCCAAAAGAUGCCUCAACAUAUAAAAGAGACACGUGCUCCACUAUGUUCAUCGCAGCCUUAUUUAUAAUAGCCAGAAACUGGAAAGAACCCAGAUGCCCUUCAACAGAGGAAUGGAUACAGAAAAUGUGGUACAUCUACACAAUGGAAUAUUACUCAGCUAUCAAAAACAACGAGUU